UACGUAGGGGGCUAGCGUUGUCCGGAUUUAUUGGGCGUAAAGAGCGUGUAGGCGGCCAGGUAGGUCUGCUGUGAAAACUCGAGGCUUAACCUCGAGAUGUCGGCGGAAACCAUCUGGCUAGAGUCCGGAAGAGGAGAGUGGAAUUCCUGGUGUAGCGGUGAAAUGCGCAGAUAUCAGGAGGAACACCGGUGGCGAAGGCGGGUCUCUGGGCCGAUAUUGACGCUGAGGAGCGAAAGCCAGGGGAGCAAACGGG
RNAcentral lists this ribosomal RNA (253 nucleotides) under uncultured bacterium. Its description in RNAcentral is "partial 16S ribosomal RNA". It matches the Rfam family "Bacterial small subunit ribosomal RNA", at positions 524 to 776 of the family's 1533-position model. The record is from RNAcentral.